Molecule: ribosomal RNA, 297 nt
Filed under: uncultured bacterium
Lineage: Bacteria
Description: partial 16S ribosomal RNA
Rfam family: Bacterial small subunit ribosomal RNA
Source: RNAcentral
CUGCCUACGGGGGGCAGCAGUGGGGAAUAUUGGACAAUGGGGGAAACCCUGAUCCAGCGACGCCGCGUGAGUGAAGAAGUAUUUCGGUACGUAAAGCUCUAUCAGCAGGAAAGAAAAUGACGGUACCUGACUAAGAAGCCCCGGCUAACUACGUGCCAGCAGCCGCGGUAAUACGUAGGGGGCAAGCGUUAUCCGGAUUUACUGGGUGUAAAGGGAGCGUCGACGGCAUAGCAAGUCUGAAGUGAAAGCCCGUGGCUCAACCGCGGAACUGAUUUGGAAACUGUUAAGCUGGAGUAC